Long non-coding RNA from Pan troglodytes (chimpanzee), 3519 nucleotides. RefSeq lists it as uncharacterized. The record is from RefSeq and is a predicted model, not a curated record. Lineage: Eukaryota; Metazoa; Chordata; Mammalia; Primates; Hominidae. The transcript has 3 exons.
GACUCCUGGAGAAAUGGUGGGCGGUCCAAACGGUGAGCAGCACGCUCCUUACUUAGGUCAUGACCUCUGCCGACUAAAAAGGCUAAACUCAGCGUGGAUUAGGGCUAUACCAGGAACCAGAAUUUGAUGAGUAAAUGGCAGAUUCUAGAAUCUAGGGCAAAAAGUUUACAAGAUAAGCCUGGAACAUCUUGUCCUACCAGAAAGUCUGGGAUUCUUCAUUUUAAACAAGUUCUGAACAACUGACUUUCCUCUAGAGGAUUUGAACUGUAGGAGGCUUGAAGUUGAACAAUGGAACUCUCAGUACCAACUUCCCUUUACAGUCUGAUCUCAGAAAUCUGACAGCCAGUUGUAUUCCCCCAGACCCUCUACCUUCACCUGUAAGUCUAAGUGGCAGGAAUUUCGCAACUCCAAAAAGUGAUGCCGAAAAAUAUUGGAGCAAUGUCUUCAAAAUCGUAAGAGUAUACACCCAACCAAACUGUUAAUCAAGUAGCAUAAAGGGUAGAAUAAAGAUUUUUCCCUGGCCAGGUGUGGUAGCUCACACCUGUGAUCCCAGAACUUUGGGAGACCAAGGCUGGAAGAUUGCUUGAGCCGAGGAGUUUGGGACCAGCCUGGGCAACAUAGGAAGAUUCUGUCUCCACAAAAUUUUAAAAAAUUAGCUGAGCAUAGUGGCAUGCACCUGUGGUCCCAGCUACUCAUAGGGUGAGGCGUGAGGAUCGCUUUAAUCCGGGAAGUCAAAGUUGCAGUGAGCCACGAUGGUGCCACUGCACUCCAGCCUGGGUGACAAAGCAAGACCUUGUCUAAAAAAAAAAAAAAAAACGUAUUUAUCAACCAUGGAAGUCCUCAAAACAUUUGCCUUCUUAGGAAGCAAGUAGAAGAUAUACUUUAACCAAAAUAAGGGGAUAAACCAAGAAUCAUAAGGACACUGAAUUCAGGAAACAGGGAUUAGAACACGGGAGACCUGCAAAAGGAUAUUCAGGAUGCAACUACACAAUCAGGCCUAGAACGCAGCUGACAGAGAUCGAUCGGGACACGGGCUCAGGAUGGAGGACUGUAGGUUAAAAAAAAAAUGGAACUCAUAUAUCUUCUGAGUUUUUGAAUCUUAUGUGCAUUCAGAAACCUACAAAGAGUCUGUGAGUAGUCCUCCGACCUUCCAUUUCUUUUUACUUUCGUUGGCCCUGUGUAAAACAAAUGUCAUUAUACUUUUUCUCUGUUUAUGUUUUCAUUUUUCAUAUAAGAAAUAUAAUUUUCUUUUAGGAAUUAUAUAAUUAAAAAAUUACCAGCGAUUGAAGUAAUUAGCACAUAGUUUUCAUAUUACCAUCUGAGUUACUUUCCAUAUGACCUAAUUAAAAAAUAAAAAACAACAAACAAAAAAAGGCCCUACUAACAUUUAUAUACAAAAAGGUAGGAAAUUUCGUUGCAUUUUCUUUACAGAUAUUUUUGAAAUUUACUACAUUAUUCUUUAGAUUGUUCACUAACUUAGCUAAUUGGAAGGACUGAUUUUCCAUUUUUGUGGGGAAAAAACCCAAUAACCACCAUUUACAGGGAAGAAUUUUCACUAGGCAAUGUCUUAAAAUAAUUUUGAAGUGUAUUUAUUUACGUCUCAAAUAUGAUUUCUUUCUAAAAUGUUCAAAGUCUCAUUUCCACAGCUGCAAUUAAGUGAGACUUUUUAGGAUAAUGUUUCAUUUGGCUGUAUUAUGUUAAUAAUCAGCUAGAUGAUAUAUAUCUUUUUCAUCUUUAUGUACUCAUGAAUUAUUCAGAAGUGUCUCUUGCAAAUGAAGAGUAGAGGAAUUCAGUUUCUCUUCCCCAAAAAGGGUCAGACAUGCUGUAGUUUAGAAGCAGGUGGGUGGUUCUUUCCUCUCUCUUUUUAAAAGUGAUUUAAAAUAUAUUAAAGUGAACAGUGAAUUACUUAAAUAUCCAAUAAUGAGAAAAUGGUCAAGUAAACUGUGAUACAUCUACUUGACAAAAUGACACAACUAUCAGAAACUAAUGGUUGGAAAGACAACAUAGCUGUAUAGAAAAAUGUUUGUGUCAAAAAAGUAAGUGGAAAAAAGCAAGAUAUAAAAAUAUAUGUAUACUACAAUUACUGUUUAAAAAUAGUCAUAGGAAAAAAUCCAGAAGAAAAUACAGUAAAAUAAUAAUCAUGAUCAUAAAAGGACUAUAGGUGACUUAGUUUUUCUCUAUAUUUUUUGAUUUUCCCCUAAAAUCCUGUAGGGGAUUUUAGGAUGAGAAGAGACAAAACAAACCAACAAACACUUAUUGAGUGACUAGUGUUUGCUAGAAGCUGGGCUGUGUACUGAGGAUAAAAAGCUGAAAAGAUAUGCUUAGUGAUACAUAAUACAUCAGGUUUUCCCUGGCAAUACCAAAAUCACUGGUAUAUAAUUGAUGCAAAUUAAUUACUAGUGUGUAAUUAAAAUAAAUUUCAUCUGGAUUUUAUUAAGAUGAAAUAUAAUUAACUUCAUUAAAUGCUUAGUAGGUGCUUUUCAUGUGUCCAUCUAAUCCACUCAACAAUCAUAUGAGGAAGAUAAUUCUCUUCUUACCAUCAGGAAUCUAGGUCUCAGAGAGGCUAUGCAACUUGUCCAAAGUGGCAUAAUUAAUAAGAUAUUGAGCCUAGCUUGAUUUAGAAGUCUAUAUUCAAUAUUUUAACAGCAAUUUAUUAAGCACUGACUUAAUAAGUUGUUAUAGAUUAGGAAAUUGUUCUAGGUAAGAGAUACUGAAACGGACAAAGCAAAGUCUUUGCCUUCGUGGAGCUUACAUUCCAGUGCAAGGCGACAUAAUCAAAAAGAAAUGUCAAAUGAUAUAUUAGAAGCUAAAAAGUGCUACAUAGACAAAUAAAGCAGAGAAAGGGGACAAGCAUGCACGGUAGGAAGGGGGGAUUGCAAUUCUAAAUAGGGUGAUCGGGAAAACCUUGCUAAGAAAGCAGUGUUUCAGUAGAGGCCUAAUAGCGGUGAGGAAAUGAUCUAACUCUGAGAGAGGUCAUUUCUGGCAGAGAGAGCAGUAAGAGUAAAGGCCUUGAGAUGGGGGCACACCUAGAGGAAGAGUAAGAACAGCAUGGUUAGAGCUGAUGGGGCAGUAGGGAGAGUGGAGCAAAAUGAGAUAAAGGAAAAUAGCAAGGAGUCAGGCACUUUGGGCAUUGUAAAGCAUUGUAAAGACAGAGGUCACUGGAGGGUUUUAAGCAGAGGAGUUGCUAUAACUGAUUUGGUUUUCAAUGGAUCCUGGCUGCAAUGUGCAGAAAAUCCUGUAGGGGAUUUUCCGUAGGGGAUUUUCCACCAAGAUGGAAGCAGGAGACCCUUUAGGAGACUUAGUAGUGACAGAUGAUGGUUGAUUGUGGCAGAGUUGGAGUAGAGGACUGUCAAAAACUGUGGGGACUUACUUAGCUGGGUGUGGUAAGUGCCUGUUGUCCCAGCUACUCUGGGAGGCUGAGGCAGGAGGAUAGCUUGAGCCUGGGAGGCAGAGGUUGCAGUUAGCUGAGAUCGUGCCACUCCAUUCCAGUCUGGGCAACAGAGACAGACCCUGUCUUAG